UACGUAGGGUGCGAGCGUUAAUCGGAAUUACUGGGCGUAAAGGGUGUGCAGGCGGUUGAGUAAGACAGAUGUGAAAUCCCCGAGCUUAACUCGGGAAUGGCAUAUGUGACUGCUCGACUAGAGUGUGUCAGAGGGAGGUGGAAUUCCACGUGUAGCAGUGAAAUGCGUAGAUAUGUGGAAGAACACCGAUGGCGAAGGCAGCCUCCUGGGACAUAACUGACGCUCAGGCACGAAAGCGUGGGGAGCAAACAGG
This 253-nucleotide ribosomal RNA is filed under the name Parasutterella excrementihominis YIT 11859. RNAcentral describes it as "partial 16S ribosomal RNA". It matches the Rfam family "Bacterial small subunit ribosomal RNA", at positions 524 to 776 of the family's 1533-position model. The record is from RNAcentral. Lineage: Bacteria; Pseudomonadati; Pseudomonadota; Betaproteobacteria; Burkholderiales; Sutterellaceae.